This 254-nucleotide ribosomal RNA is filed under the name uncultured bacterium. RNAcentral's name for it is "partial 16S ribosomal RNA". It matches the Rfam family "Bacterial small subunit ribosomal RNA", at positions 524 to 776 of the family's 1533-position model. The record is from RNAcentral.
GACGUAGGGCGCGAGCGUUUGUCCGGAUUUAUUGGGCGUAAAGAGCGUGUAGGCGGCCACUUAAGUCCUGCGUGAAAUCUUGCGGCUCAACCGCAAGCGGUCGUGGGAAACUGGGUGGCUAGAGUGCGGGAGAGGAGAGUGGAAUUCCUGGUGUAGCGGUGAAAUGCGUAGAUAUCAGGAGGAACACCUGUGGUGUAGACGGCUUUCUGGACCAUAGCUGACGCUGAGACACGAAAGCGUGGGUAGCAAACAGG